Molecule: ribosomal RNA, 401 nt
Filed under: uncultured bacterium
Lineage: Bacteria
Description: bacterial SSU rRNA
Rfam family: Bacterial small subunit ribosomal RNA
Source: RNAcentral
GGGGAAUCUUGCACAAUGGGGGCAACCCUGAUGCAGCGACGCCGCGUGAGCGAUGAAGCCCUUCGGGGCGUAAAGCUCUUUCGACCGGAACGAUAAUGACGGUACCGGGAGAAGAAGCUGCGGCUAACUACGUGCCAGCAGCCGCGGUAAUACGUAGGCAGCAAGCGUUGUUCGGAGUUACUGGGCGUAAAGAGUGCGUAGGCGGUUUUCUAAGUUCGGUGUGAAAUCUCCCGGCUUAACUGGGAGGGUGCGCCGAAGACUGGGAAGCUGGAGUGUGGGAAAGGCAGGCGGAAUUCCUGGUGUAGCGGUAAAAUGCGUAGAUAUCAGGAGGAACACCGGCGGUGUAGACGGCUUGCUAGACCAUAACUGACGCUGAGGCACGAAAGCGUGGGUAGCAAACA